AGAGAAGUCUCCAGCACAGGGACCUUCCCGCUUCUCCACUGCGGAAUCCCAGGGAGAGGAGCUGGGUGGGCACAUGCGGGACGGGCAGACGCCAGCAGCCUUGGUGCCAGCCAGGCUGCCAGCAACCCCAGCUCACUUCCGGAGCCAUAAAAGGAGAGACGCUGAGAAUAGCGCGGCUGUGACGCGCCCAGGAGCUCCUCACGCAUGCAGACUCUGCACCACCCGCCCGCCCGCCUGCUCUCUGAGGUUUGGCUGGACCCGCCAAGAAAAGGCAUCGUGCAGAAGCACUGUACAGAAACAUGAGACACCCACGAGGAACCAUCUCUCAGCACCAUUUCAGAGGCAGACCCCAGAGGGAGACCACUCUCAUCAUCCAGGAUCCUGCAGAGCGAUGGUCAACCCUGCCAAGAACAGCCACUGUCUCAGGUGCGGCAGCUAUCGAGGCAUGACGCAGGCCACUGACUCACCACGCCAGGCUGACUCACCUCCCAGGGCACAGCCUGGGGACUGCGCGGGCCCAGCCGGCGGAGCCCCAACCUGGAGAAGCCCGCUCGCCCCAGGAGGCCUCCAUUACCAGCGUCCGCCCCCACACCCCCGAAACCGGCUGUGUCUGCCCACGCUGCCACAGCCAUCCCAGAAUCACACGUGGAUGGCUUCAUUUCCCACCUGGGCCUGGGGGCCAAGGAUGCCUAAUUCCUGGAGCGGAGAUGGGCUGAGCCUAGAGAGCCCACCUGGGCUGACGGCUCUGGAAACACAUCAGUCAUGCUGAGCUGUGGGGACCAAGGGGGUGCCGGGAGAGAACGUGGCGCCGGAAACGGAAACGUCUGUGCAGACCAAUGGGGUGCCGAGAGAGAACGCUGACUCCGGAAACGUCCUGGCUGUCUGGGGAGUUCAACAGCAAGGUACGGUGAGAGCUGGCGGCUUCAUUUUUGGAACCAGGGAGAGAGAGAGAGAGAGAGGUUUAUGAGAGACCUCAUGAGACAGCUCAUGAUGGAAGUGAGACUGAGUUGCAGUGAACCCUGUCACUGAAGAGACAGCCUUCACACUGUGUCUUGCAGGGGAAAAUACAACUCUUUAUUAAAAUUUAUUGCCC
RNAcentral lists this long non-coding RNA (1093 nucleotides) under Homo sapiens (human). Its description in RNAcentral is "novel transcript". Lineage: Eukaryota; Metazoa; Chordata; Mammalia; Primates; Hominidae. The record is from RNAcentral.